RNAcentral lists this long non-coding RNA (754 nucleotides) under Homo sapiens (human). Its description in RNAcentral is "HSALNT0386193". Lineage: Eukaryota; Metazoa; Chordata; Mammalia; Primates; Hominidae. The record is from RNAcentral.
GACUUAUUCAACUUCUAGGAUAUGGCCUGUGGUUGCAGUACAUUGAUUCUGAAGAUGGCCCAGAUCUUCACUCAUAUCCUGAUGUCCUUUAGCGUGUCACUUUGCAGCUCCUCCCAUGAAACGAUCAAGUCUAUUUCCCUACACCUUAAAAGUGGGUUGGACUUAUCUUUAUUUAUUCCUGGAGAGGACACUCUUGGUGCCCCACCCAUCCUCCCUCCUCCUUGCUACUUUAGCCUACCUGAAUUCCAAAUGUACCUGUGUUUCUUUGCCUGAGAACUCACUCUGAUUGCCAAAGCCUGAUUUGUCUGCUCUGAUGGCUUAAAAAUAGAUUCACACAUUUUUUAAUACUCCUCCCUCCCCUUUUCUUGAACGUGGGCCAAACUUUAUGACUUGACUCGCUUCUAUCAAAUAGAAUGUGGUGGAAAUGACAGUGUGACUUUCAAGACUAGGCCAUAAAAGGCCCUGUGGUCUCAUGGUCUCUCUUGGAUCACUCAUUUUGGGGUCAGCAUAUGCCUUGUUGUGGGGACACUCAAGCAGUCAAAUGGAGAAGUUGAUAUGGUGAGGAACUGAGGCCUCCAACCAACAGCCAGCACUGACCAGCCAGCUGUGCAAGUGAACCACCCUAGAAGCAGGUCCUCCAGCCUCAGUCAAACCUUCAGAUUACUAAAUCCCUGCCCAUUUCUUAAAUGCAACCUCAUGAGGAACCUCAAGCCAGAACUCACCAGCUAAGCUAUUCCAAAUUUCUUCACCCUUG